GGCGGCGUGCUUAACACAUGCAAGUCGAACGGAAAGGCCCUGCUUUUGUGGGGUGCUCGAGUGGCGAACGGGUGAGUAACACGUGAGUAACCUGCCCUUGACUUUGGGAUAACUUCAGGAAACUGGGGCUAAUACCGGAUAGGAGCUCCUGCUGCAUGGUGGGGGUUGGAAAGUUUCGGCGGUUGGGGAUGGACUCGCGGCUUAUCAGCUUGUUGGUGGGGUAGUGGCUUACCAAGGCUUUGACGGGUAGCCGGCCUGAGAGGGUGACCGGCCACAUUGGGACUGAGAUACGGCCCAGACUCCUACGGGAGGCAGCAGUGGGGAAUAUUGCACAAUGGGCGGAAGCCUGAUGCAGCAACGCCGCGUGCGGGAUGACGGCCUUCGGGUUGUAAACCGCUUUCGCCUGUGACGAAGCGUGAGUGACGGUAAUGGGUAAAGAAGCACCGGCUAACUACGUGCCAGCAGCCGCGGUGAUACGUAGGGUGCGAGCGUUGUCCGGAUUUAUUGGGCGUAAAGGGCUCGUAGGUGGUUGAUCGCGUCGGAAGUGUAAUCUUGGGGCUUAACCCUGAGCGUGCUUUCGAUACGGGUUGACUUGAGGAAGGUAGGGGAGAAUGGAAUUCCUGGUGGAGCGGUGGAAUGCGCAGAUAUCAGGAGGAACACCAGUGGCGAAGGCGGUUCUCUGGGCCUUUCCUGACGCUGAGGAGCGAAAGCGUGGGGAGCGAACAGGCUUAGAUACCCUGGUAGUCCACGCUGUAAACGGUGGGUACUAGGUGUGGGGUCCAUUCCACGGGUUCCGUGCCGUAGCUAACGCUUUAAGUACCCCGCCUGGGGAGUACGGCCGCAAGGCUAAAACUCAAAGGAAUUGACGGGGCCCCGCACAAGCGGCGGAGCAUGCGGAUUAAUUCGAUGCAACGCGUAGAACCUUACCUGGGUUUGACAUGGAUCGGGAGCGCUCAGAGAUGGGUGUGCCUCUUUUGGGGUCGGUUCACAGGUGGUGCAUGGCUGUCGUCAGCUCGUGUCGUGAGAUGUUGGGUUAAGUCCCGCAACGAGCGCAACCCUUGUUCACUGUUGCCAGCACGUUAUGGUGGGGACUCAGUGGAGACCGCCGGGGUCAACUCGGAGGAAGGUGGGGAUGACGUCAAGUCAUCAUGCCCCUUAUGUCCAGGGCUUCACGCAUGCUACAAUGGCUGGUACAGAGAGUGGCGAGCCUGUGAGGGUGAGUGAAUCUCGGAAAGCCGGUCUCAGUUCGGAUUGGGGUCUGCAACUCGACCUCAUGAAGUCGGAGUCGCUAGUAAUCGCAGAUCAGCAACGCUGCGGUGAAUACGUUCCCGGGGCUUGUACACACCGCCCGUCAAGUCAUGAAAGUUGGUAACACCCGAAGCCGGUGGCCUAACCGUUGUGGGGGAGCCGUCGAAGGUGGGACUGGUGAUUAGGACUAAGUCAU
This 1444-nucleotide ribosomal RNA is filed under the name uncultured organism. RNAcentral describes it as "SSU rRNA". It matches the Rfam family "Bacterial small subunit ribosomal RNA". The record is from RNAcentral.